RNAcentral lists this long non-coding RNA (949 nucleotides) under Rattus norvegicus (Norway rat). RNAcentral's name for it is "long non-coding RNA NONRATT033087". Lineage: Eukaryota; Metazoa; Chordata; Mammalia; Rodentia; Muridae. The record is from RNAcentral.
CUGGCUUUGAUAGGAUUGGUGACCUGGUCAUUUGGGCCACUGUCAUUUCAGCUUGUUUAUAUUCAUGAUGUAAAUGCUGUGAGCCAGGUCCAAGGGCUUUGGGCCCACACAUCACUGAGUAGCUCCACCUACAGACCUUGCCUCCAUCCUGGCACAGAGAAAAGCCAGGAAUGUUUGGGCAAAGACUCCUGGGUCUAGUCAGACUCUGACUCUGGUCAGUCCUGGGAGAAAACAGAUUUCCUCCACAGAAUUCCAAAGUUGGCCAGACGCAUAGAAGAAGGAAACCAAGUUUAAGCCAAGCACAGCAGCGUGUACCUGUAAUCUCAACACUUGACACGGUAUGACAGGAAGAUUACAAGUUUGUGUCCUGGGCUACAUAGUGAAAACCUGUUUCAGGAUGCAAACCACAGAAAGAAAAACCUAUGCAUUCUGCAGGGAUAGCCUGACCUGGAGCGCACGGUCACUGACUUGAGCCCUGGCAUCGGUGACAGUGAGGUCAUCUUGCAGGCUCAUUGAAGCUCAUCAGAACAUGAUUGUGUGGGCUGCCUUACUGGAAGCAUUUUCCCUAGGGAUGCAAAGACCACGCCCCGCCCCCUCUUCUCUUAAGCAAACAAUUUCCUUAUCAGCUCCAAGAUCAUAAGCGCGGGAGUUAGGAUAAGACAGGUUAGUUGCUAAAGAGAGGGCUGAGGAACCUCUCCAAGUGUUUGCAGCAGAGAAAAGAGGAACGGGAGAACAUUUCCUCCUCCUGGAGCCUUCGCCACAAGCCCUUCCACACUUGGCCAGGGGCUCUGAUGGGAAAAGGUUUCAAAACAGCGAGGGACCACAGUCUCCAAAGCUAAUAAAAGGGAUAGGAAACAUUUAGCAAGUGCUUGAUACUCUCCAGGAGCUGCUCUAAGUGUUUGCACAUGAAUUAACUCAGUUAAUCCUCGCAACCCUGCAAAAGAGAAAG